GCCAAUGUAGCUCAGUCGGUAGAGCGGUUCACUCGUAAUGAACAGGUCAUCGGUUCGAUUCCGAUCAUUGGCUCCA
RNAcentral lists this transfer RNA (76 nucleotides) under Lentisphaeria bacterium. RNAcentral describes it as "tRNA-Thr". It matches the Rfam family "tRNA". Rfam says of the family: Transfer RNA (tRNA) molecules are approximately 80 nucleotides in length. Their secondary structure includes four short double-helical elements and three loops (D, anti-codon, and T loops). The record is from RNAcentral. Lineage: Bacteria; Pseudomonadati; Lentisphaerota; Lentisphaeria.